CAACAAGAGCAGGAGGGAGAGGGAAAGAAAGACAGCCGGGAGCAACAAGAGACAACACCGUCACAUUGGAAAGCUGCCCUGGUAAGAAGAGAAGUCAACAUGCCUUCAAAACCACCAAGUAGAAAAGAGCGAAAGAAGUGGUUCACCUCUCUGACGGGGGAGGUAAGACGUGUUUCAUGGGCAGCGCCGACAGGAAGUGACCUGCCAUAUGUGCCACAGAGAGCAUCUGCAUCCCUCCAGAUGGAGACUCUGCAUCAUGCACCUUCUUCUCAUUCACUUCUAUUCAUCUCCUCAUUUCCCUGAGCACUCAUAUGACGUCCAUGGCCCCUCCCU
Molecule: long non-coding RNA, 333 nt
Organism: Astatotilapia calliptera (eastern happy)
Lineage: Eukaryota; Metazoa; Chordata; Actinopteri; Cichliformes; Cichlidae
Source: Ensembl